RNAcentral lists this transfer RNA (68 nucleotides) under Marmota monax (woodchuck). Its description in RNAcentral is "tRNA.Ala". The stretch from base 3 to 63 matches the Rfam family "tRNA", at positions 6 to 65 of the family's 71-position model. Rfam says of the family: Transfer RNA (tRNA) molecules are approximately 80 nucleotides in length. Their secondary structure includes four short double-helical elements and three loops (D, anti-codon, and T loops). Lineage: Eukaryota; Metazoa; Chordata; Mammalia; Rodentia; Sciuridae. The record is from RNAcentral.
GUUGUAGCUCAGUGGUUGAGUGCUUGUCUCGCAUGCAUGAGACACUGGGUUCGAUCCUCAGCGUGACA